GUACCAGACUCCUACGGGAGGCAGCAGUCGGGAAUAUUGCGCAAUGGAGGAAACUCUGACGCAGUGACGCCGCGUAUAGGAAGAAGGUUUUCGGAUUGUAAACUAUUGUCAUUAGGGAAGAAAAAAGACAGUACCUAAGGAGGAAGCUCCGGCUAACUACGUGCCAGCAGCCGCGGUAAUACGUAGGGAGCGAGCGUUAUCCGGAAUUAUUGGGUGUAAAGGGUGCGUAGACGGGAAAAUAAGUUAGUUGCGAAAUCCCUCGGCUCAACUGAGGAACUGCAACUAAAACUGUAUUUCUUGAGUGCAGGAGAGGAAAGUGGAAUUCCUAGUGUAGCGGUGAAAUGCGUAGAUAUUAGGAGGAACACCAGUGGCGAAGGCGACUUUCUGGACUGUAACUGACGUUGAGGCACGAAAGUGUGGGGAGCAAACAGGAUUAGAUACCCCAGUA
RNAcentral lists this ribosomal RNA (448 nucleotides) under uncultured bacterium. Its description in RNAcentral is "bacterial SSU rRNA". It matches the Rfam family "Bacterial small subunit ribosomal RNA", at positions 328 to 792 of the family's 1533-position model. The record is from RNAcentral.